This 253-nucleotide ribosomal RNA is filed under the name uncultured bacterium. Its description in RNAcentral is "partial 16S ribosomal RNA". It matches the Rfam family "Bacterial small subunit ribosomal RNA", at positions 524 to 776 of the family's 1533-position model. The record is from RNAcentral.
UACGUAGGGUGCGAGCGUUGUCCGGAAUUAUUGGGCGUAAAGAGCUCGUAGGCGGUCUGUCGCGUCGGUCGUGAAAACUUGGGGCUUAACCCUGAGCUUGCGGUCGAUACGGGCUGACUAGAGUUCGGCAGGGGAGACUGGAAUUCCUGGUGUAGCGGUGAAAUGCGCAGAUAUCAGGAGGAACACCGGUGGCGAAGGCGGGUCUCUGGGCCGAUACUGACGCUGAGGAGCGAAAGCGUGGGGAGCAAACAGG